GCAAGUCGAGCGCGCCCUUCGGGGUGAGCGGCGGACGGGUGAGUAACGCGUGGGAAUAUGCCCUUCUCUAAGGAAUAGCCUCUGGAAACGGAGAGUAAUACCUUAUACGCCCUUUGGGGGAAAGAUUUAUCGGAGAAGGAUUAGCCCGCGUUAGAUUAGGUAGUUGGUGGGGUAAAAGCCUACCAAGGCGACGAUCGGUAGCCGAACUGAGAGGUUGAUC
This 220-nucleotide ribosomal RNA is filed under the name uncultured bacterium. RNAcentral describes it as "partial 16S ribosomal RNA". It matches the Rfam family "Bacterial small subunit ribosomal RNA", at positions 57 to 305 of the family's 1533-position model. The record is from RNAcentral.